UGGGGAAUAUUGCACAAUGGGCGCAAGCCUGAUGCAGCCAUGCCGCGUGUGUGAAGAAGGCCUUCGGGUUGUAAAGCACUUUCAGCGGGGAGGAAGGCGGUGAGGUUAAUAACCUCAUCGAUUGACGUUACCCGCAGAAGAAGCACCGGCUAACUACGUGCCAGCAGCCGCGGUAAUACGUAGGUGGCAAGCGUUGUCCGGAUUUAUUGGGCGUAACGCGAGCGCAGGCGGUUUCUUAAGUCUGAUGUGAAAGCCCCCGGCUCAACCGGGGAGGGUCAUUGGAAACUGGGAGACUUGAGUGCAGAAGAGGAGAGUGGAAUUCCAUGUGUAGCGGUGAAAUGCGUAGAUAUAUGGAGGAACACCAGUGGCGAAGGCGGCGCUCUGGUCUGUAACUGACGCUGAGGCGCGAAAGCGUGGGGAGCAAACAGG
This 429-nucleotide ribosomal RNA is filed under the name Chloroflexota bacterium. RNAcentral describes it as "Chloroflexi bacterium partial 16S ribosomal RNA". It matches the Rfam family "Bacterial small subunit ribosomal RNA", at positions 355 to 776 of the family's 1533-position model. The record is from RNAcentral. Lineage: Bacteria; Bacillati; Chloroflexota.